AAAAAAAAUACACCGUCAUUGAGGAGAAUGUAAAAUUCCCAUCUAUUUUAAGACAAAACAAGAUCCCUCAAGAACACUUCAUGCCCACAGUAGGUGCCCUCCCAGGCCCUGGAGAUGCAUUCCCUCUCUCCGACCACUCAAGGCUGACUUCUCCUCUGGAGGGUGAGUCAAGAGGCCUUGAGGUCAUGUGGGCGGGAGGGUAAGGACCACCCCUCUCUCACUGAGGCUGAAGGGUUGUGGGGAAUGUUUUCAGUGGAGUAAGGGGGUUCGGAAUGGCGGAAGUUUGGUUGGAGGUUCCGAACCCCAAAAUCAGGACUGAUAACAGUCUUCUGUAAACACCAUUUGGAAGACAGUGUAAUUUAAACUAUGUGCAUCAUAGAGGACUAGUCAGUCCCUGCCCCCUGCAAAAAGGUCUUGGGGGGGUCGGGGGGGGGGGGGGGCUAGGGCAGGGGCUGCCUGCAAAACUGCCGUCCAGAACCUGGGGUAGCCCUCGGGCUCCUCCACCAGGAAUCUGCCCACAAGGCAGAGAGAUUUAGCAGCAGACCGAGUGGUUCCAAUUGCCUUUACUUUGUCCAAAGGUCUCUGCUUAACAAACAGCACUCAGAGAGGUCAGAGCUCUGACCCCUGCUGAGGACAAUAGGAGGAGUGGAGCAAAGGGCCAUUUGGUGUAGAGGAAAGAAGCAGAAGUCAGAGAGCUUCGACUUCGUGUGACCUUGGACAAGUCAUGUUACCUCUCAAGGCCUUAGCAACCUAUAAAAAGAAGAGGUUCUCCGCAUUACUGAAUACAUAUACCUCCCUGACCCACUUACAGAUUAACCUCAUGCUUUCAUAUUUGCCUUAGUUAAAAGCCCCUUUGGCCUUUUGUUGACUACAUCCUUUCAAAACUUAAGGUCAGCAGGGAAUUUCCCCUAGAUAUAGAAGUUUAUAAAUCACCCAUCUUCAUUAGGAACGCUUGUCAAAAAACCUUCAGUAGAGGACUACUCUCCCAGAAUUCAGCCAACUGUAUUGAGAACGGAUGUGCUCCGAGGGCUGUGGAUCCAGGAAAGAAAAACAGGAGACAAAUGUGUAAAGAAAGAAUUCCAGCACAGUGUGAUGUGCAUAAGGGGCCUUUGUAUGAGAUACAAAGGAAGCCGUACAGGAGCAAUCAGCUAACUCAGCCUAGAAUGCCCAGAGAGCUCCACUCAAGAGCUGAGUGUUAAAGAACGGGCCAGAGUCUCCCUGGCCGGGAGCUUGUGGAAAGCUCAGAAACAUGUAAGUGAUGUAUUCAAGAACCGCAGAUAAGUAGACAGGUAUGCCUGGAAAUAAGCAUGCCAUGCUAAAAGUGGCCAGAGACAGGUCAAAGAGGUGGGCAGGCGCCCACAUGGUGCUGUACCUUUUAGAUUUUGCGGUGGCAUGAGUUGACAACUCUGUAGACCUAGUACCCUGGGGGAGUUUUAGGCAAGGGAGUGAUAGGAUCCAAAUUGCUGUUUGGAAAGAUCACUAAAGGCAGAGACCAGUAAAACAACGUUCAAUUGAUUAGAGUCUGAACUAGAGAAAUAUUGAAUAAAUACAAGAGCCUUUCAAGGAGUCGGCUUAUAUUUUAGAGCCCCUAGCUGUCAGAUAUUAACAUUGCGUAGGCCUCCACCAAAGAAUGGAUCUCCUGGACCAGACUGCUCACUCCACCCUCCAUCAUAGUGGACACACAGAGUAUCCCCAAGUAUAGCUGCUUCCCUUUUUUUCCCCUUCCUUUGCCCUUUCCCCCCUCUUCUUAAAAAUCAUAAGAUGCACACAACAAAACACCAUUUUGAUUAUCAGUGGCAUUGAAUUCUCCUUGCUAUGCAGUGGUAACCACUAUCCAUCCCCAGAACUUUAUCUUCCCAAACUGAGAGUCUGUACCCAUUCAACACUAAUUCUCUGUUCCUCCUUUCCCUUGAGCCUCUGACAACCACCACCCUUCUUUCUAUCUAUGAAUUUGACCACUGUAAUGUACCUAAUGUAAGUGGAAUCAAACAGUAGUUCUCCUCUUGUGUCUGUUGUAUUUUGCUUACCCCAAUGCCUUCAAUACCCCAAUUCACGUUGUAACGUGUCAGAAUUUACUUUCUUUUUAAGGCUGAAUAGUAUCUCAUUGUAUGUAUGCACUACAUUUUGUUUAUCUGUUCAUCCGUUUGGACAUUUGGGGCUAUUGUGAGUAACAUCGAUGUGAGCAUUAGUGUACAAAUACCAGCUCAAAUCCCUGCCUUUACUUCCUUUGAGUGUAUACCCAGAAGUGGAAUUUCUGGGUCAUACGGUAACCCUACAUUUAAUUUUUUUUUUGGUUAAUCAACCUACUAUUUUCCACUCUGGCUGCACCAGGGAACAAGGCUUGCGUGAAAUCACUGAUUUUGUAAUGACGUUUUCCCUAUGAUACACGUUAACUGGAAAACAUUUAGAAAAUACAAGGAAACAAAGUGUAGAAAAUAAAAUCUUUAUUCUAACCACCGAGAUGUACAUUUGGCCAGAAUGCGUGUUAUCUCCAACAUGAAGGGAAGGAGUCAUUUCCCCUAGGAGGAUUCUACUGCAGUGCGGGAGAGUGUGAGCCAAGACAUCAUCAGAUCCUGGCUGUCCCGCCACCCCAGUCAUCAGUAACGUUCACUCAGUGAAACUGGCUUCUGAGCCAUAUUCGUGGGGUGUUCCUGGGGAGGCCCCGGGGGCGACAUGGGCUUGUCCCUUUCUUUCUAGGUCUGUCUCCUCAUCUUUAAAAACCACUUCAGGGUGAUAGGACAAACACAAAAUGUUUGAACAAAGUUAUUUCUCUUCAGGUACGCAUUCUACAAACGCAGCAACUACAUCUCCAGAAUAGAGCUUUCUUGCCCAACCACAGGGAACCCGAAGACGAGGGUCGGAUCCGUCAGAACUGAGCACCCGCACAAGCAGAGCAGAAGUUUCCGCCUUCUUUCAUUUCUCCAGGUUCCCAUUGGCUGGUUCCUACCGUCGAUCCGUUACGUCCUCACUCGGCGCGCGCCGCUCGCCUUCCGGCCUGUGCUCCCAUUGGCCCUCCCUGCCGUCGCUCUGCGCCAGGGGCGUUCCAGAGCCAGCCACUGGGAGUCGCUGAAUUCGGGUUUUAAAAAACGCCGCCAGUGAGUUGGCAGUGCGGGCCCUUGGAACCGAGGGCCCGCGGGGGGCUGCCGAACACUCGCCCGGUCGGGGCACGCGGCCAGGACGUUCCCGGGCUUCUCCCCGGACGCCAGCCUCUGUCCCCCGACCUCGAAGGCAGAGAAGGAGCCACCGGGCCGCCACCCUCCGCGCGUGCCAUGGGCCCGCGCCGCCGGAGCCGCAAGCCCGAAGUCCCGAGGAGGCGCACCGCGAGCCCGGCCGCCGGCCCCCCUCGUCGGGCCCCCUCCUUAGGCGCUUCCUCCCGUCAGCGUGGUCCCCGGAGAUCCCGGAUUCUGAAGGAAAUCCGAACGCUUCAGAAGAGCACGGGCCUGCUGAUAAGGAAGAGCCCCUUUGGCCGCCUGGCAAGAGAGAUAUGCGUUAAAUUCACUCGCGGGGUGGACUUCUCUUGGCAAGCCCAGGCCCUGUUGGCCCUACAAGAGGCCGCAGAAGCGUUUCUAGUUCAUCUCUUUGAGGACGCCUAUCUCCUGUCCUUACACGCCGGCCGGGUCACUCUCUUCCCGAAGGACGUGCAGCUGGCCAGAAGGAUCCGAGGCAUUCAGGAAGGGCUUGGCUGAGCCCCUGCCCCGUCUCUGUAAGCCUUGCUUGCCCACUGCAGAGAGAGCGGCCUCUGGGGAAGAAGCCCCCCUGCCCCAGCCUCUCAUCACCAGGAUGGGAAUUUCUCUGAAGGAAUUGCCAUCCGUGGUCCCUUGCUGUCUCACUUCCCUUUGUUCUCUAGGAAAGGUUUGACUCGGUUUUAGCUUGAAUGCUUGGGAUUCUAUGGCUCCUGCCCUUUUGUACAAUGUUAAAUAAAAAUAUUUAUCUAUUUAAUGUCCAGGCAACACGGGUCUGUUAGAAUUCAGCCUCUGUUUUACAAGGACCAGGUGAUUCAUUUCGAUUAAGAGAAAAGUUUGGCUGUUGAAAAUGCCUUGGUAGUAAAUGUGAUACCUGACUUUCAGGGAUGACACCAAGGCCUCUGUCCGGAGCCAGGAACAGAUCCACGGAGGGCAAGGAGGUGUCUACUCGCUGUCCCUGAGCAGAGCGCAUGUCGCUUUUGUAAUCGGUUCUUUUAAGAAGGACAAGACUGCAUAACUUUUCUCUGGAACAGAGGUAAUAGAUGAGAAAAUCAACAGCAUUCCAAAGGACUGAGAAUUCUUUUUAGAUAAUGAGACUCCAAGGUUCGCUUCAAUUUGCAAAUGAUUCACAUGACUGCUGAAUGAUUUUGAAGACCUCAGACUUUCUAGGCUAUGGAAAAAAAGAUAUUUACCUAUUAUUUUACGUCUUCCUGUACCAUUUACGUUUCUUGCCAUAUGUAUAUUUACUUUUCUUUAAAACAUAAGGGAAAAAUAUAAAAGGCGACCACUUGAGUCAGUUGCACGAAGAGCCCAGCACGUCCAUGCACUAAUCCGUCCCUCGGUUAACCUCACCCCGGAGCGGGGCCGCAAGGGAGGCGUGGGCCACACCUGCCGACAGCUGGGGAGCUUUUUAAAAACUCAACUGGGGUUAAAAUAGCAAGUCUUAAGUCCUGUCGUUCUGAUUCCUUUGAGUAAAUUCCUGUCAAACUCAUUCAGAAAUUCUAAAUUCCGACUUGUAGAAUUUAUUUUAUUCUUCUUUGUAAAUCAUAGAUGACAUAUCAUGAUUUAUACUUUAGAAUUUUUCAUCUCGGGAUUUUAAAGUGCCUUCUCAAAGUUUUUACAGAUGUCUUAUCACUUCUUUGUGGAAAGAUAAUAAAAUUAAUUCUUUAAUGAAAAAACUGUAAAGCAAAGUUACAGUUACUGCAUAUGGAGAUGCUACGUUUUUUGUGAGUUACUGUUCAGUUCUCCAUUUGUAAGACAAGCGGGACAAGCAGGCUCCAUUUAAACAAGAGAAUGGAGGGAUGUGUUUCGGGCUCCAGUAGAGUGUGAACGGGUGAAAACCUUACACUUCUGUUGCAACCGAAAGCAGUUAAAGAGAUUUCCAGAGAAAUGGAAAGGGCCACGGGAAGACUUUUAGACUUUGCGUGUGAUGGAAAUGAUUAGCAAGGGUGGACCUCUGACAGUGAUGUGUGGGGCGACCAAAUUUGGAGAAGAACUGAAGGGAAGGACCAAGUUCUGUUGUUGGAUAAAUUUUAACCCCUUGGAAAAACCUCUUCCUGUUCAACAUCAAGUCCUAUUUAUACAGACAUUCGAAUAAAGUGUAUCUACUGUGAAUGUAUUUAAA
Molecule: RNA transcript, 5307 nt
Organism: Lutra lutra (Eurasian river otter)
Lineage: Eukaryota; Metazoa; Chordata; Mammalia; Carnivora; Mustelidae
Gene: CENPA
Gene name: centromere protein A
Exons: 5
Source: RefSeq, a predicted model, not a curated record